GCCGGGCGUGGUGGCGCACGCCUGUAAUCCCAGCUACUUAGGAGGCUGAGGCAGGAGAAUCGCUUGAACCCGGGAAGCGUGGGUUGCAGUGAGCAGAGAUCGCGCCACUGCACUCCAGCCUGAGCUACAGAGCAAAACUCUGUCUCAA
This is an unclassified non-coding RNA of Pongo abelii (Sumatran orangutan), 148 nucleotides long. It matches the Rfam family "Metazoan signal recognition particle RNA". From Rfam's summary of the family: The signal recognition particle (SRP) is a universally conserved ribonucleoprotein. It is involved in the co-translational targeting of proteins to membranes. NCBI's taxonomy places the organism in Eukaryota, Metazoa, Chordata, Mammalia, Primates, Hominidae. The record is from Ensembl.